This 417-nucleotide ribosomal RNA is filed under the name Triticum aestivum (bread wheat). Its description in RNAcentral is "partial small subunit ribosomal RNA". The record is from RNAcentral. Lineage: Eukaryota; Viridiplantae; Streptophyta; Magnoliopsida; Poales; Poaceae.
AUGCUUGCCGAAUGGACUAUUGAAAACAUUCGGAUUAUCACCGAGUUGUUUGUCAAGCAAGUGAGAGCUGGAAAUAGGCCAAAUGCUCACUUGACCUCCAAUGCAUAUGAUGAGGUGGUGAGGCAAUUCAAAAUAAGAACAGGGUUGGAGUACACGAAUGAGCAAUUAAAGAACAAAUGGGACAAACUGAGAGGUGAAUAUGGUGUAUUCAACAAACUUAAGUUGAAGGAGACAGGAGCGGGAUGGGACACAGAGCGCAACACUGUGAAACAAGAUGCUGAGUGGUGGAAGAAGGCAAAGAUAGUGAGUUUUCAUCCUCAUGUUGUGCAUACCAUAUCUUUCUUCAUAUUACUUGUUGUUGACAAAGGUUAUCUUGUUUGUAUAUUUACAGGACAUUGCAGGUUGUUACAAGUUUAG